UUGGAGGGCAAGUCUGGUGCCAGCAGCCGCGGUAAUUCCAGCUCCAAUAGCGUAUAUUAAAGUUGUUGCAGUUAAAAAGCUCGUAGUUGAAUUUCGGAGCUUGUCGGUUGGUCGGGCUUCACUGUCCGCACUGGCCUGAUGGAUUCCUACCUUCUGAAUAACCAGCAUGCUAUUAAGUUAGUGCGUUGGGGAAGCAGAGCUAUUACCUUGAAAAAAUUAGAGUGCUUAAAGCAGGCUUAUGCUUGAAUAGAUUAGCAUGGAAUAAUAAAAUAGGACGGCAUGGUUCUAUUUUGUUGGUUUCUAGGAUCACCGUAAUGAUUAAUAGGGAUAGUUGGGGGCAUUAGUAUUCAAUUGUCAGAGGUGAAAUUCUUGGAUUUAUUGAAGACUAACUACUGCGAAAGCAUUUGCCAAGGAUGUUUUCAUUAAUCAAGAACGAAAGUUAGGGGAUCGAAGACGAUCAGAUACCGUCGUAGUCUUAACCAUAAACUAUGCCGACUAGGAAUCAGACGAUGUUAAUUUUUUAAUGACUCGUUUGGCACCUUACGGGAAACCAAAGUGUUUGGGUUC
This 567-nucleotide ribosomal RNA is filed under the name uncultured Glomeromycotina. RNAcentral's name for it is "SSU rRNA". It matches the Rfam family "Eukaryotic small subunit ribosomal RNA", at positions 548 to 1114 of the family's 1831-position model. Lineage: Eukaryota; Fungi; Glomeromycota. The record is from RNAcentral.